UACGUAGGGGCCGAGCGUUGUCCGGAGUUAUUGGGCGUAAAGCGCGCGCAGGCGGCCUCGCGCGCCCGACGUGAAAGCCCCCGGCUUAACCGGGGAGGGUCGUUGGGGACGGCGGGGCUUGAGGGCGGGAGAGGGUGGUGGAAUUCCUGGUGUAGCGGUGAAAUGCGCAGAUAUCAGGAGGAACACCGGUGGCGAAGGCGGGUCUCUGGGCCGAUACUGACGCUGAGGAGCGAAAGCGUGGGGAGCGAACAGG
RNAcentral lists this ribosomal RNA (253 nucleotides) under uncultured bacterium. RNAcentral describes it as "partial 16S ribosomal RNA". It matches the Rfam family "Bacterial small subunit ribosomal RNA", at positions 524 to 776 of the family's 1533-position model. The record is from RNAcentral.